CAAAAAAUGAGUAAAAUGUUCUCAUGUCCAUAUUUUUAGGGGAAAAAAAAGCAAAUAAAAGUAAGUGUGGUACCUGGCACCUCUAAGACUAGGAAUGUCCGGUAACUGUCACUGAAGAGCACUCUAUGGCUGUGCAAGGAAGGGAAGGGAGCACCCUUUGACUUCAUAGAAGGGAGCACCUUGUGACUGCAUAGGACGGAGCACCCUAUGACUGUUUACAGAAGGGAGCACCCUGCAACAGCACAGAGUGGAGCACUACACUACGACAUGAGAAGGUGAUCGAGGACUCCUCCUUCACCCUCGGAAGGGUUCUGUUCUCUUCCUGUAGCAGGAUGACCCCUGUGUCUGAGUUCUUCUAGUCCUCCCCCUCUCCCGGUCCAAAACAGAUGCUGGUGACAGCUGGGGAAUGCACAGCAAUAAAGAGUUAUUGGACAAUGGUCAGAGCCAGCCAAAGUUUGACUAGGCUGCCUUUUGGUGGCAAGUUGCCUGUCACCAGAGGCAACCAAACAAGAGCCCAACACCUCUCAGCAGGGAGAACAGCAGGAUUCCACCCUAGUUUCCCCAGCACUUAGGAGCAAAGACAUACCUAUUAGACUUCUCCCUUCUUCUGGACCCUUCAAUUUAAAUGUGUCUGGCCCAUAGAUUAAGCCCUGGAUAUGGAAUAACCAUUUUUUAAUAAGGACAUGUGAUUCAGCACAAACUACUUCUCAUGAGGAUUUUUGCUCGGAUAAAUCAGUCUUCCCUUCCCUCAGUGUUCAUGGGUUCUACUCUAACCAAGCCAUGGUUCAAGAGCCUUGAAUUUAGUACAGAUUUUGAGGAAAUGUCACAUCUCUGGUGGCACUUUGAAGGAUAACUUCUGGAGCUCAAGAUUCUCAGCUCCCCCAACUUCUAGAGCCUAAAUCAUUGGCCUCAGAGGCUUCCAGAAGAUUUGAAUUUUAGACAACCCAGAGGUCCUAAGAUCAAACGCAAAUGAGGUCUUAAGACCUGAAAGAGGUGUCAGAGGAUAGCUAACAACUUUAGGAUUUCCCAUAAGUCCCCUGGAAGUGACAGCUCUCAAUCAGGGAGCUCAGGAAAGAAAAGACAGAAAAGGGAACAAGUUCAGAGGCUCCUGGGCCUUAGGAUCUCCCCGUUAUCCUCAGGGUGCCCCCACCAUGGCCCUGGGUGGGAGGAUAGUCCUGGCACCUCAGGCCCUGUGCAUUGCUUUGUCCCGUCAGUACCCCCUCCAUGCUCAUGAUGGCCUGCACUUCUGCCUCCUCAGCUGCUUCAUGGCGUUGGCCGACCUUGUACCUAGAUCACUGCCCAGUCCCUUUUUCUUCCCUUCUGUUGUGAACACGGGAUGGGACUUGAGGAGGUCAGAGCUCGGGCAAAGAGGGAGGGACAGAACCUGCUCAAAGCUGCAGGGAGUAAAUCAAGCUGCUCUCUUCCUUGGGCUGUCUGACUGGCCUUGCAACCCUUUCCAAUCAGGGAGUCUAAAGUUACCAUAUUGACAGCAUCUGCAGCCAAGCCCAGCUCUAAAGGAGAUGAAUAGCAGUGACUCAGGAGCCCAGUGGAGGAGGCUUCACUGAGACCCCAAAGCAGGACCUGUCGAGUCGAGUUUCUAUGUAUAUGUAAUGGUGGGUCUCCGCUGGGGUUUCUGCUUUGGAUUCAUUUAGUGAAGUGACCCUGUCUUGAAUGUCUCCUUCCUGAGUGGUCCUGGCCAGCCCAUGUAGUGUAGAGGACUCCAUCCAUGAUAAUGGGCUGGAAUGAUUUAGCUGUGGACCAUGAGACCAGGGAGGCUGAGGAGUGUUUUGUGUCAGAGUGUCACAGUAUGUUUUACUCCCGCCUGGCCUGUUCUCUCUCAGGGAGGAAGAAUACCCUGGAAAAGUACAUGAGACAGAUGACCUGUUUCUCAGAGAGCACCAGCUAGAAGGGACCUAUGCAUUCUAAGGAGGAAGCAGGUUAGAGGACCAGGCUGCUACCCCUCCCUCCAUGACUCACUACAGAUGGCUUCAGGGCUCUGUGGAGUGAGUACCUAGCUAACUCUCCCCACUUGAGCUAAAGCAUCUCCGUGGCGAUGUUUUUGUACCAUUUUCUCUGUAAGUUUUCACGCCCUUGCUAUGUCUACUUCAGGGACUACAGUAAUUGCGGACAUCAUUGUCUGAUGGUGAAUAGACAGGAUGUGGAAGGUAUCAGCAUGUGACAAGAUGGAAGAUGUCUCUAGAGAUGGACUGGAUGUGGCGCGGGUUUCUGAGGAAGGAAGCUAGCCUAAGGAGAGACCUAGAUCAGCACUAACAUGAGGACCAGCCUCAGCAUCUAAAACUCCUACUGGAACCUGGACCCAGAUAUGAGGAGACAUGAGGGCCAUUCAUUCACCCAUCUAGUCCAUGAGUGCUGUUCUUGGUAGACGGUAGCAAGAGACAGGAGCUGAUGGUGUGGCCCUUACAAAGGGAGAACAUUCAGCACUCACCCACAUCUGGGAAUGGUGCCUCCUGUCCAGAUAUAUAGCCAAGACACCAAGGGCAAGGACAUUCUGGUUCCGUUCUGAGACAAUGACUGGCACACAGUAGGGCCCUGAAACAGGCCAGCUGACUGUCAGGGGCAUGAGGCAAAAGGGAAGCGACUGCUGCUUGCUACUACCACAUCCAGUGGCCAAGCUGUUUGGAUGGAAAGAGGAAUCAUGAAGCCUCCACCAACAAGUGGGCAGCCAGAGGCACACACGUCUUGCUCAAGAAAAACAACUUUGUCAUCAUGUCUUGCCCUUGAAAAUACCCCUGUACAGCCAGAGAACCAAGAGCCAGGCACAUGCCCAUGGGAUCUGAUGGUCUAUGGUCUGUUCUUAUCAUCCUGAGCAGAAAGUCAUCAGGUGAGAGCCAGUCUUAAGACUUGGCUUACCCAUUCAAAUGAUCUGUGCAGAACCAAUUCUGUUUUCAUCCUAACAACAAGGUAUUUAUUUCUUUUCAAGGAUCUUAAGUGAAGCCUAGCUUCUCAGUUGUUCCCACAACCCGUUACUGGAAUUCCCUAAUUUCUAUUCCCCGAGACAAGAAUAAUUGAAUACAGGGCUUUGUUGGUCUUUGGCAAACACACUUAGAAUCACUGCUGCCUUUGGCAGGAUAAGGGCAAGGUAGACAGGUAACCAACCGUAAGAAAUUCCAAUAAAAGUUCUGAUUAAAGGUAA
This 3154-nucleotide small RNA is filed under the name Rattus norvegicus (Norway rat). RNAcentral describes it as "uncharacterized LOC108351266". The record is from RNAcentral. Lineage: Eukaryota; Metazoa; Chordata; Mammalia; Rodentia; Muridae.